GGGUAAUCCUUAAUUAUAGAUCAUACACGAAGAGUGCUUUGUGAUCUAUGCGGGCAAAUGAAUGGGAGUGCUCAAAAUGCUUUGAGAUCUGUCUGAUGAGUGAUCUUAAAUUAUGGAUCUUAUAUAUUAAGAGUUCGUUAAGAUCUGUACCAAGUAUCCAUCCCAUAGACACUUGAUAUGAAGGGUAUUUUGCUCAUAAUAUAAAUUUAUGCUUCUAUAUGAUGGUC
This 227-nucleotide long non-coding RNA is filed under the name Elaeis guineensis (African oil palm). RNAcentral's name for it is "long non-coding RNA (EGUI_LNC039413)". Lineage: Eukaryota; Viridiplantae; Streptophyta; Magnoliopsida; Arecales; Arecaceae. The record is from RNAcentral.